CCACGCCGUAAACGAUGAGUGCUAAGUGUUGGAGGGUUUCCGCCCUUCAGUGCUGCAGCUAACGCAUUAAGCACUCCGCCUGGGGAGUACGACCGCAAGGUUGAAACUCAAAGGAAUUGACGGGGGCCCGCACAAGCGGUGGAGCAUGUGGUUUAAUUCGAAGCAACGCGAAGAACCUUACCAGGUCUUGACAUCCUUUGACCACUCUAGAGAUAGAGCUUCCCCUUCGGGGGCAAAGUGACAGGUGGUGCAUGGUUGUCGUCAGCUCGUGUCGUGAGAUGUUGGGUUAAGUCCCGCAACGAGCGCAACCCUUAUUGUUAGUUGCCAUCAUUCAGUUGGGCACUCUAGCAAGACUGCCGGUGACAAACCGGAGGAAGGUGGGGAUGACGUCAAAUCAUCAUGCCCCUUAUGACCUGGGCUACACACGUGCUACAAUGGGAAGUACAACGAGUUGCGAAGUCGCGAGGCUAAGCUAAUCUCUUAAAGCUUCUCUCAGUUCGGAUUGCAGGCUGCAACUCGC
RNAcentral lists this ribosomal RNA (520 nucleotides) under Enterococcus faecium. RNAcentral's name for it is "bacterial SSU rRNA". It matches the Rfam family "Bacterial small subunit ribosomal RNA", at positions 795 to 1315 of the family's 1533-position model. Lineage: Bacteria; Bacillati; Bacillota; Bacilli; Lactobacillales; Enterococcaceae. The record is from RNAcentral.